CGGAGGGUGCGAGCGUUGUUCGGAAUUACUGGGCGUAAAGCGCGCGCAGGCGGCCCUUUAAGUCUGUCGGUCAAAUGCCGGGGCUCAACCCCGGGCGUGCCGAGGAUACUGGAGGGCUGGAGACACGUAGAGGCAAGCGGAAUUCCGGGUGUAGCGGUGGAAUGCGUAGAGGUCCGGAAGAACACCGGAGGCGAAGGCGGCUUGCUGGGCGUGAUCUGACGCUGAGGCGCGAAAGCGUGGGGAGCGAACAGGAUUAGAUACCCUGGUAGUCCACGCCGUAAACGAUGGGCACUAGACGCUGGUGGGAUCGACCCCUUCGGUGUCGCAGCUAACGCGAUAAGUGCCCCGCCUGGGGAGUACGGCCGCAAGGCUG
This 373-nucleotide ribosomal RNA is filed under the name uncultured organism. RNAcentral's name for it is "bacterial SSU rRNA". It matches the Rfam family "Bacterial small subunit ribosomal RNA", at positions 526 to 896 of the family's 1533-position model. The record is from RNAcentral.